RNAcentral lists this long non-coding RNA (9052 nucleotides) under Homo sapiens (human). RNAcentral's name for it is "HSALNT0351918". Lineage: Eukaryota; Metazoa; Chordata; Mammalia; Primates; Hominidae. The record is from RNAcentral.
GCCUGUUCCCUGGCUUCCUCCAUCCUGUGCAGCCCAUAGACUGUGACCAUCUAUCUGGCCACUGUGGCCCUUCCUUUCCCUUUGUCCUGUUGGAAUCUCUGAGCAAGAUCUCCCAGGUCCAUCGAAACACCUGCUUUGUCCAGUUUUGACUGGGUCUUUGGGCACUACUGGGCCAUCCCAACUGUCCACAGGGCCCUCAAUAACGUGCAUUGCACCUGACAUCUCCCAGCAGUGCUCAGCAGCCCCUGCUGACCAGGUCCAGGUCCCUGCUGGCCAUAUCCCACACAUCAGGUCCUCCCUGACCACACUCUCACUGAUUAGAACCCCAUGACCAGGCCCCACUAACCAGGCCCUUGCUGCUAGGCCAACAGUGUCCAGGACCCCACUGACCAGGACCUUACUGACCAGGGCCUCACUGACCAGGUUCUUACUGACCAGGGCCUCACUGACCAGGUUCCACUGAUCAUGACCCCAUUGCCUGGCACCAUAGAUGAGGCCCCACUGACCAGGCCUCCAGGGAACAGGCUGCCACUGACCAGGCCCCUAUUAACCAGGCCAUAGGUGACAAGAUGCCCCUGACUGUGACCCUAGUGAGUAGGCCCCACUGAAUAGGCACCCACUGCUCAGAUCCCUGCUGACCAGGUCACCCCACAGACCACUGCUACAAGAGCCACCACUGAAUGCGCUCUCUCUGAACAGGCCGCCACUGAUUAGGUUCCACUGACCAGGCUGCGCUGACCAGGGCCCCACUGACAAGGGCCUCACUGAUGAGGACAUGGCCAGCAGGCCCUGCUGACUGGGUCCCAUGUGACCAGGCCUCCAAUGAAUAGCACCCCUUGAGCUGGUCACCAGUGACCCGGCCCAUGCUGACAAGGCCACCACUAAGCCCCAGCUGACCAGGUCUCCAUUGACAAAGUCCUGCAGCCUAGUUUUACACUGACCAGACACCAAACAAGUGGCUGCCACUAGGUCCCCACUCACCAAGACCCCACUACUAGAUCCCCCUAAUGAGACCCUCUCUAAGCAGACCCCUGCUGACCACACCCCCCAAUAAAUAGGCCUCACUGACCAAGUCCCAGCUGACUAGGUCCACUGAUGAGGCCCACACUGAUCAGGGCCCUCAUAACCAUACCAGAAGGACAAGCGACAAUGAGAUAUUUCAUAUGGCAGGAGUAGGAGCAAGACAGAGAGAGAAAGGAGGUGCCACAUCCUGUUAUACAACCAGAUCUCAUGAGAACUCACUAUCAGGAGAUCAGCAUCAAGAAGAUUAACCACUGGUGAAGGAAACACCACCCACACCACCACCCACUGUUUGCAGGCAGAAGCCUCCUGCAGAGGCAGAGCCUCUUGGGAAACUUCUACCAUGGCAGUGCAGAAGGGAAACAUGGGCUUGGAGCCCCGACACAGGAGGUCACCAUCCUCCAGACCCCAGAUUCAUAAGCCCACCAACAGUUCACAUCCUCAGUAUGGAAAAGCUACAGGCACUCCACACCAGCCUAGCCCAUGAGAGCAGACAUGGGGGCUGAAGCCUGCAAAGCUGCAGGUGCACUGCCCUAGCAGAGGUUUCCCAUGAGCCUCUGCCUCUGAAGCAGACUACUCCCCCUUCCUACUACCCACCACCCUCCCACCACCCUACUGCCAACCUACUUCCCACCCUACCCACCCCUUUUCCUUCCAACCCCAAACCCCUCCUGCCAUGAUUACAUCACCUCCCACCAGGCCCCACCUCCAACAUUAAGGAGUACAUUCCACAGGAGUUUUGGUAAAGAAACACAGCCAAACCAUAUUAUUCUGACCCUGGUACCCCAGAAUCUCAUGUCCUUCUCACAGAGCAAAAUACAUUCAUGCCUUGUCAAAAGUUUCCAAAAGUCUUAACUCAUUCCAGCAUUAACUCAAAUGUAAAAAGUUCAACAUCUCAUCUGAGACAAGUCUACAGUCCCUUGCACCUAUGAGUCCCUGAAUUUAAAAGGAUGUUCUUUUCUUUCAGGGUACAAUGAUGGUACAGGCAUUGGGUAAGCUUUCUCAAUUCAAAGGGAAGAAAUUUCCCAGGAAAAAACCACAAAUAGAACCACACACCCAAUGCAAGUCCAAAACCCAGGAGGCCAGUAUCCAUUCAAUCUCACAGCUCCAAAAUCACGAAGAGAACUCACUAGCAUAAGCACAGCAAUAAGGAGAUGGUGUUUAAUCAUUUGUGAAGGAUCCACCUCCCACCACCACUUUUCACCCCUCACCCCCACCAUAAUCCCCUCAUUCUCCCUACCCCCCACCUUCCAACCCACACUCUCCACCAUGAUUAAAUCACCCUCCACCAGGCCCCACCUUUAACUUUAUUAUUCUGUCCCUGGCUCCCAAAUCUCAUGUCCUUCUCACAUUGCAAAAUACAAUGAUGCCUUCCCUACAGUCCCCCCAAAUCUUGUAUCAUUCCAGCAUUUAUACAAAUGUCCAAAGCUUAAAGUCUCAUCUGACACAAGGCUAUACAGUCCCUUAGGCACAUAAGCCUCUGAACUAUAAAGCAAGUUAACUGCUGCCAAGCUACAAUGCUUGUGCAGGCAAUGGGUAAGCAUUCUCAACUGAAAGGAAAAAUUUUGCCAGAAAGAGCAAAACACAUAGAGGACUUACAGGCCCCAUGAAACUCCAAACCCAGAAGGCCAGUCAUUCAAUCCUACAGUUCCAAAAUCACCCUUUUUGAAACGUUGUCCCACAUCCAGGGCACAGGGACAUGAGGGCUGGGCUCUGAAGGCCUUGGGCAGCCCUGCACCUGUGGCUUUGCAGGGUUUAUGCCCCACAGCUGCCCCCAUGGACUGGGCGGGUGUUGAGUGCCUACAGCUUUUCCUGACUGAUGGUACAAGCUGUUGGUGGGUCUAUGAAUCUGGGGUCUGCAUGACGGUGGCCUCCAGUGUGGGGGCUCCAACCCCAUAUUUUCCUUCUGCACUGCCCUAGUAGAAGUUUCUUAUGAGGCUCUGCAUUUUUGGGAUGCUUUUGUCUGGUCACCCAGGCAUUUCCAUACAUCUUCCAAAGUCUACAAAAAGGCUCCCAAGCCUCUAGUCUCAUGAUCCAUCCACCUAGUGGCUUAACACUAUGAGGAAGUUACCAAGGCUUCUAGCUUGCACCCUCUGAAGCAGUGACCCAAGCUGCAUCUGUGCAUUUUCAGCCAUGGCUGGAGCUGGAGCUGCAGGGACGCAGGCAGCAGUGCCCUGAGGCUGCACAUAGAGCGGGGUCACAGGACUGGCCCAGGAAACCAUGCUUCUCUCCUAGGGCCCAGGGCCUGUGAUAGCAAGGGCUGCUGCAAAGGUCUCCGAAAUGCCGUCAAGGGCUUUUCCCUAUUGUCUUGGCUAUUAGCACUGGGCUCCUUUUCAUGCAAGUUUCUGAAGCCUUCCUGAAUUUUCCCCCUGAAAAUCAGCUUUUCUUUUUGACCACUUGGCCAGGCUGCAAAUUUUCCAAACUUUUGAGUCCUGUUUCUCAUUUAACAUAAGAGUUGGGACUCAUUUAAUAUAAGUCCCAUCCAGAGGUCAUUUUCUCAGUCACACAUCAGAGCACAGGCUGUUCAAUGCAGACAGGACACCUCUUGAGCUUUGCUUCCUAGAAGUUCAUUCCACCAGAUAUGCACUGCAUCAUCAACCUCAAGUUUAAAGUUUCACAGAUCUCCAGGGCAGGGUCACCAUGCAGCCAUGUUCUUUGCUACAGCAAAAUAAAAGUAACCUUGGCUUCUGUUCCCAGGAAGUUCCUCAUUUUUAUCUGAGACCUUCCAAGUCUGGUUUUCACUGGCCAUUUUCCUGUCAGCCUUCUGAUCACAAGUAGUUAACAAUUCUUUACAAAGAUCCAAACUUUUCUUCAUUUUCCUGUCUUCGAAGCCCUCCAAACUCUCCUGAUCUCUGUCUGCCACCCCCUUCUGAACCUGCUUCUACAUUAUCAGCUAUCUUUGUCACAGCCUGGCAAUGUGGUAAAGGAAGACAAGUCCAUUUUCAGGGAGAAAAUUCAAGAAGCCCUCAGAUACUUGAAUGAAAAGAAGCUGAGUACUGACUCCCAAGACAAUAGGGAAAAGGCCUUGAAGACAUUUCAUACAUCCACUUCCCAGUACUAAUUUUCUCUAUGAUCAUAAAGAACCUCAUGAUUCUGCAGGCUGUAAGGAAACAUACUGGCUUCUGAAUCUGGGAGGACUCAGGAAGCCUCCCAAUCAUACCAGAAUGUCAAGGGGCAAUGAGAUGAUUCACGUGGCAGGAGUAGGAGAAAGACAGAGAGAGGAAAGAGGUGCCAUGCCCUAUUAUACAAGCAGAUCUCAUGAGAACUCACAAGGUCAGCAUCAAAAAGAUGGUGUUUAACCAUUGGUGAAGGAUUUGCCCCCCACCCCCAACUCCCACUGUUUCCAGGCAGAAGCCUGAUGCAGAGGCAGAUCCUCUUGGAAAACCUCUACUAGGGAAAUGUGGAAGGAAAAUAUGGGCUUGGAGCCCCCACGCAGAUGGCCACCAACCUCCAGACCCCAGAUCCAUAGACCCACCAACAGCUCACAGCCUCAGUUUGAAAAAGGUAUGGGUAGUCAACACCAGCCCACCCCAUGAGAGCAGCCACAGGGGCUAAACCCUGUAAAGUCACAGGUGCACUGUCCUAGUAGAGGUUUUCCAUGAGCCUCUGCCUCUGCAGGAGGCUACUCCCCCUUCCUACUACCCACCACCCUCCCACCACCCUACUGCCAGCCUACACCUCCCGACCCUACACACUUGUUUUUCCUUCCACCCCCACCAAUCUCCCAUUUAUGGUUCAAUCACCUCCCACCAGGCUGCACUUCCAACAUUCGGGAGCACAAUUCCCCAUGAGUUUUUGUAGGUAAACACAGCCAAACCAUUUUAUUCUGACCCUGAGACCCCCUAAUCUCAUGUCCUUCUCACAGAGCAAAAUACAAACGUGCCUUUUGAAAAGUUUCCAAAAGUCUUAACUCAUUCCAGCAGUAACUCAAAUGUAAUAAGUUCAAGUUUCAUCCAGGACAAUGCUGCAGUCCCUUCUGCCUAUGAGUCUCUGAAGGGAAACGGGAGUUCUUUUCUUUCAAGUUACAGUGAUGGGUAAGCUUUCUCAAUCCAAAGGGAAGAUUUUCCCAGAAAAAUAACACAAUUGGGACACAGGCCCAGUGCAAGCCCAGAAGCCAGCAGGAGAGUAUUCAUUUAUCAUGAGAACUCACUAUCACACAGACAGGAUUAAGGAGAUAGUGUUUAACCAUUUGUGAAGGAUCUGCCCCGGUCUCCAUGUUUCACGACCACCCCCACCAUGAACCCCCAUUCUUCUCACACCCACACUUCCAACCCCCACUGUCCACCAUGAAUAAAUCACCUUCCACCAAGCCCCAGCUUUAACAUUCCCCAUUACAAUUACACAUGAGUUUUGGUAGAGGCACAGAGCCAAAUCAUAUUAUUCUGCCCCUGGCCCCCCAAAUCUCAUGUCCCUCUCACACUGCAAGAUACAAUGAUGCCUUCUCUACAGCCCCCCAAAGUCUUAACUCAUCCCAGCAUUUACUCAAAUGUCCAAAGCCCAAAGUCUCAUCUGAGACAAGGCUACAGUCCCUUCUAUCCCUGAGCCUCUGAAAUACAAAGCAAGUUAACUACUUCCAAGGUAUAAUGCUUGUCCAGGCAUUGGGUAAGCAUUCCCAGACAAAAAGAAGAAAUUUGCCAGAAAGAAGUGCAAAACACAGAUGGGACUUACAGACUCCAUGCAAGUCAAAAACCUAGCAGGCCAUUCAUUCUAUCCUACAGCUCCAAAUAAUCUUUUUUGAAACUACAUCUCACAUCCAGAGCACAGGGUGGUGAGAUGGCUGGGCUCCCAAGGCUUUGGGCAGCUCAGCACCUGUGGCAUGGCAGGGUCUUUCCCCAAAGCUGCCCUCAAUGGCUGGGCUGCUGUUGAGUGCCAAUAGCUUUUCAACACUAAGAGUGCAAGCUGUUGGUGGGUCUAUGAAUCUGGGGUCUGGAAAAUGGCGCCUCCCUGUAUGGGGGCUCCAACCCUAUAUGCUUGUUCUGCAAUGCCCGAGUAGAGGUUUACCAUGAGGCUCUGCCUGUUGGAAAAGCUUCUGCCUGGACACCCAGGCUUUCCCAUACAUGCUCUGGAGUCUAGACAAAGGCUCCAAAGCCUCUAGUUUUGUGCUGUGUGUACCUGCUGGCUUAACACUAUGUGGAAGCCACAAAGGCUUGGAGCUUGCACCCCUGAAGCAGUGACCCAAGCUGUGCCUGUGCAUCUUUCAGCCAUGGCUGGAGCUGGAGAUGAAGGUGUAGGGGUGCAGGCAGCAGUGUCCUGAGGCUGCACAUAGUAGUGGGGCCAUAGGGCUGGCCCAGAAAAAACAUUCUUUUUUCCUAAGCCCCAGGGCCAGUGACAACAAGGGCUGCUACAAAGGUCUUUGAAAUGUCUUCGAGGCCUUUUUUCCCAUUGUCUUGAAUUAUUAGCACUGGGCUCCUUUUUUAUGCAAAUAUCCAAAGGCUUCUGGAAUUUUCUCCCUGAAAUUCAGCUUUUCUUUUUGACCACUUUGCCAUGUUGCAAAUUUUCCAAAGGAUUAAGCUCUGCUUCUCAUUUAAAUAUAAGUUUCAACUCAAGGUCAUUUCUUUGGUCACACAUAAUACCACAGGCUGUUCGACGUAGGCAGGACAACUCUUGAGCUUUGCUGCUUAGAAGUUCAUUCCACCAGAUAGACCCUAAAUCUUCACCCUCAAGUUCAAAGUUUCCCAGAUCUCCGGAGCAGGGACACUGUGCAGCCAAAUUCUUUGCUAAGGCAAAAGAACAAAACCUUGGCCCCUGUUCCCAGUAAGUUUCUCAUUUUCAUCUGAGAGCUUCUAAGCCUGGCCUUCACUGUCCAUCCUUCUGUCAGCCUUUUAAUCACAACUAACAAGUCAUUACAAUGGUCCAAACUUUCCCUCAUCUUCCUGUCUUCUUCCAAGCUCUCCAAACGCUCUAACCUCUGGCCAUUACCGAAUUCCGAACCUGCUUCUACAUUUUCAGCUAUCUUUGUCGCAGCCUGGCAAUGUGGUAAAAGAAGAAAAGUCCAUUAUCUGGGGAAAACUUCAAGAAGGCUUCAGAUAUUAGCAUCAAAGAAGCCCAGUGCUACCAGCCAAAAGAUUGGGGAAAAGGCCUUGAAGGCAUUUCAUAGCUUCACUUCACAGCAUUGAUUUUCUGCAUGUACAUAAAGAAAAGAGGUUGAAUUGACUCACAGUUCUGGAGGCUGUAAGGAAAGCAUAGUGGUUUCUGCUUUCAGGAGGACUCAGGAAGCCUCCCAUUUAUACCAGAAGGCCAAGCAGCAAUGAAAUGUUUCAUAUUCCAGGAGUAGAAGCAAGACAGAGGAAAGAUGCCACAUCCUGUCAUACAACCAGAUCUCAAGAGAACUCAGUAUCAGGAGAUCAGCAUCAAGAAGAUGGUGCUUAACUAUUGGUGAAGGAUCCACCCAAUACCCCACAUCCACCCCCCAGUGUUUCCAAGCAGAAGUCUGAGGCAGAGGCAGAGCCUCUUGGAAAACCUCUACUAGGGCAGUGCAGAAGGAAAAUAUGGGUUUGGAGCCCCCACGCGGGAUACCACCAUCCUCCAGACCCUAGAGUCAUAGACCCACCAAAAGCUCCCACCCUCAGUAUGGAAAAGCUACAGGCACUCAACACCAGCCCAGUCCAUGAGAGCAGCCAUGGGGGCUAAAGCCUGCAAAGCCACAGGUGCACUGCCCUAGUAGAGGUUUUCCAUGAGCCUCUGCCUCUGUAGCAGGCUACUCCCACUUCCUACUACCCACCACCCUCACACCACCCUACAGCCAACCUACUCCUCCAACGUUACCCACUUCUGUUUACUUCCAACUCCACCCCUCUCAAGUACAGGAAUAAAUCACCUCCCACCAGGCCACACCUGCAACAUUUGGAAUUACAAUUUCCCAUGUGUUUUGGUAGAGACACACAGCCAAACCAUAUUAUUCUGACCCUGAUCCCCCGAAUAUCAUAUCCUUCUCAGCGAGUAAAAUACAAUCUUGCCUUUUCAAAAGUUGCCAAAAGCCUUAACUCAUUCCAGCGUUAACACAAAUGUAAAAGGUUCAACAUCUCAUCUGAGAAAAGUCUACAGUCCCUUUUGCCUAUGAGUCCCUGAAUUUCAAAGGGAGGUCUUUUUUUCAAGGUACGAUGAUGGUACAGGCAUUGGGUAAAUUUUCUCAAUCCAAAGGGAAGAUAUUUGUCAGGAAAGUAACACAAAUGGGAUCACAGGCCCAGUACAAGUCCAAAACCAAGCAGGACAGUAUCUAUUCAAUCUUACAGCUCCAGAAUCAUCACGAGAACUCACCAUCAUGAGGAAAGCAUUAAGGAGACGGUGUUUAACCAUUUGUGAGGGAUCCUCCCCAACACCCACCUUUCACCCCUCACCCCCACCAUAAUCCCCCCAUCCUCCCCAAUCCCCACCUUCCAACCCCCACUGUCCUCCAUGAUUAAAUCAUCUUCCACCUGGCCCCACUUUUAACGUUUCCAAUUACAAUUCCAAAUGAGUUUCUGUAGGGACACACAGCCAAAUCUUAUUCUGUCCCUGCCUCCCCCAAUCUCAUGUACUUCUCACUUUGCAAAAUACAAUGAUGCCUUACCUACAGUCCCACAAGGUCUUAACUCAUUCCAGCAUUUACUCAAAUGUCCAAAGCCCAAUGUCUCAUCUGAGAAAAGGCAGUCUCUUCUGCCCCUGAGCCUCUGAAAUACAAACAAGUUAACUACUUCCAAGGUACAAUGAUUGUCCAGGCAUUGAGUUCCCAGCCAAAAGGAAGAUUUUUGCCUGAGAGAACAAAACAUAAAUGGGACUUACAGGCUCCAUGAAAAGUCCAAAACCCAGCAGGCCAGUUAUUCAAACCCACAGCUCCAAAGUCAUCCUUUUUUAAUCCUUGUCCCACAUCCAGGGCACAAGGGCGUGAGGGCUGGGCUCCCAAGGCCUUGGGCAGCUCACCUGUGGCUUUGCAGUGUUCAGCCUGUGCAGCUGCCCUCAUGGGCUGUGCUGGUGUUGAGUGCCUGGGGUUUCUAACCCAUGGAGGGUGCAAAGCUCUUGGUGGGUCUAUGAAUCUGGGGUCUUCAUGAUGGUG